CAUUAGNGAUUGCAUCGAUGAAGAACGCAGCGAAAUGCGAUAANGUAAUGUGAAUUGCAGAAUUCAGUGAAUCAUNGAAUCUUUGGACGCACAUUGUGCCCUCUGGUAUUCCGGGGGGCAUGCCUGUUCGAGCGUCAUUAUAACCACUCAAGCUCUCGCUUGGUAUUGGGGUUGCGGUUCCGCGGCCCCUAAAAUCAGUGGCGGUGCCUGUCGGCUCUACGCGUAGUAAUACUCCUCGCGAUUGAGUCCGGCAGGUCUACUUGCCAGCAACCCCCAAUUUUUACAGGUUGACCUCGGAUCAGGUAGGGAUACCCGCUGAACUUAAGCAUAUNAAUAAGCGGAGGA
Molecule: ribosomal RNA, 345 nt
Filed under: uncultured Pezizomycotina
Lineage: Eukaryota; Fungi; Ascomycota
Description: eukaryotic LSU rRNA
Rfam family: 5.8S ribosomal RNA (bases 10-137)
Source: RNAcentral